CACGUUUCCAAGGGCAUGGGCCAGCCACUGGACAGGCCCUCUUUGGCAUUUUGGAUGAGGGAUACUCCACCUGCACUGUUACUCACUGGAGAGCGUCUGAGUGACCCACAGACCCACACCCCUUCUUACCCACCUCAUCUGCGGGGAGCCGGACCAGGACAUGUAGAGCAAGAUGAGGAAGAGCAGCACCACGAAGGCAGCCAGGCUCACCCAGAAUGCGAUCACGAUGGAAUCUGCGGGAGGAGGAGAUGCAUCUCAGCGCUGGGUUAUGUCAACAUAAAGCAAGGCUGAGGGAGAACCAUGUGACAAGGUUCUGGCCAAUGAGAUAUGA
RNAcentral lists this long non-coding RNA (331 nucleotides) under Pan troglodytes (chimpanzee). Its description in RNAcentral is "long non-coding RNA NONPTRT009463". Lineage: Eukaryota; Metazoa; Chordata; Mammalia; Primates; Hominidae. The record is from RNAcentral.